UAGAAAUGAGCAAACUACAAAAGGUCACAAGGUUUGUUUUGGACCAGUAGUGGAUAUAUAUCUAAACCUCUUGAACCUGGCAAACAGGGAACUCCUUCUGGAAGUCUUCAAGAGGAGACUGGACAGACACCUUGUUGAGAUCAUUUGAUAUCAGCAAUAUUCCUGUCCAGAGCAGGGGGCUGGACUCAAUGAUCCUUCGAGGUCCCUUCCAGCCAAUAAUUUCUAUGAUUCUAUGACCUUUCUGCUUCUUUCCAAUAUCACCACAACAGGAUAUGUGAGGGACACACAAAAAAGCUGGGGGAGAGGCACUGAAUGGAGUGAACUUUUUCAGUCUACAGACAAAGGAGCUGAUGCCUGAAGUUUAGGAGAGUUUGGCCCUUCACUGGGACACUGCUUUUUAUUUUCAAGGUUUCAGGCAAUGCAGCGUGCUCUGUUCACUGUGGCCUCUACACAUUUCUACUUAUGGGCUAAAGAAACACUCCACUCAAAGAAGUACUUGCCAGGUGGAUCAGUGGCUGCCACCUCUGCUGUCAAUAGCCAACAGAAAAUAUUUUACCAGCAAUGCUUAGGGGAACAGCUUCUUUCAGGAGAAGAGUCAAGAAUGGAAUGGACAUGGAGCAUUAGUUCUUGGAUGAGUCCCUGUGGUGUAUGCAUGGGAAGGAGCACAGGAGAAGGUUUUGCUGCUGCUACCAGGUUUGUACCUGUUCUUCAAAUGAACCAACAUGUCUAGAGCUGUCAGUUUGGCUCCUUUCACCAGCAUUAAACACCAGUAUAAAACACCAAAGCCUAGUGCUAGGACUGAAGUGGAGCACUUACCAGCUUCCUUGGAAGAGAAAGGAUUCUUCUUCUGUGUAUUUGUACAAGUCAAAAAAAGCUAUUUUUUAAUAUGAACACACCACAGAUAUUUGACUUGACCCAUCCUCAGUCAUACACUAGGGAAAGCACAUGAAAUGUGUGUUCUGUUCCCACUUGAAAGAGAUCUUUCUUCAGAGUUAUUCUUUAAUGUCAGCCUCAAACAAUUGGCAGGGCAUUUCUUAUUCCAGUGUGGAGAGAUCAGCGGGACCCUGUGAAAGAUAAUGCAGGAUUCCAGCAUAAUCAUGGGUGCUUGUAUAAGGAGAAUCAGUGACUCUGUUCCCCCCCUUUGCAAAGUGGCAUUUUUGCAUACCCAUGAGAGCGCUCCCUUCCUCAGGGAUCUCAAAGGUGGGGGGGCUUUGAACUCCACUUCAAAGCUGGGGGCUUGGAGUGAAGUAUUUGUAAACUCAAAGGAACAGCAAAUAUUUGCAGGAACUGAUUAGCCCCCUCACCACCUUGAUGGGCAACUGUACAAGAUGGCUGGCCAGAGUUCAGCAAGCUUUGAAGUGUACCUUGAAAGUUCACAGAGUCUCUAUAGAUCUGUACAAUACUUACAUUUUCCAUAGAAACUCAAGAGGACAACUUCUUGUUCAGUUUUGUGCAGCCUGUCAGCUUUUUCUGGUCAGGUAUAAAUAGUAAAAGUCAAGAGCUAAAUUCUGUUACUGAUGCCAAUGUAAAUUCAAAGUAACUCCAGUUAAUCAGUCGGGUUACUCCAGGUUCACACCAGUUGUUUUGUAUACUGAAAAUGGAACCUACCUCGUUGUUCUAGUAGUUUGAUUACGUAUGGAAAUAGGACUGGACGGGAACUCUUGAGUUGCUGAGUUGAGUCCUCUGUUGUCAAAGACAGUAUCACAUAAUCACUUUAAUAAAUGUAUUAACUUCCAGCUUAAA
Long non-coding RNA from Alligator mississippiensis (American alligator), 1743 nucleotides. RefSeq lists it as uncharacterized. The record is from RefSeq and is a predicted model, not a curated record. Lineage: Eukaryota; Metazoa; Chordata; Crocodylia; Alligatoridae. The transcript has 5 exons.